UCGAACCUAUCMAAAUGGAAGACCCGCGAACGAGUGUUACAAACGCGGUGCGUUUGGCCUUUACCGGUCUCUACGUCCACCGAAUCCGUGGGGGUCAUGUUGCUGCGUGGGUUCUCUCAUCGGCUGCUCGUGUCUCUGUCGGAAAUCACCAAACCCCGGCGCGAAAAGCGCCAAGGACCAUAAAACGAAACAGCUCGCUCUGGACACCCCUGAUGAGGUGUGUGUCCGGUUGUGUUGCUGCAAACACUAGUCUAUAACGACUCUCGGCAACGGAUAUCUCGGCUCUCGCAUCGAUGAAGAACGUAGCGAAAUGCGAUACUUGGUGUGAAUUGCAGAAUCCCGUGAACCAUCGAGUCUUUGAACGCAAGUUGCGCCCCAAGCCGUCAGGCUGAGGGCACGCCUGCCUGGGUGUCACGCAUCGUCGUCCCCCCUCCCGUCUUAGCACGGCGAUAACGGAGACGGAGAAUGGUCUCCCGUGUGUUUCCGCACGCGGUUGACCCAAAUAUAAGCCAAGGGCGUGGAGUCCUUGAAUUAAGCGGGUGGUGUAAUAUACCUCGUGAAAAGUCGGCCGCUCCCGUCUCAACAUGCUGUCAUGACCCUCUCAGAGUUGCUUGUGUKACUCUCCGAACGCGACCCAGGKAGCGGGA
RNAcentral lists this ribosomal RNA (647 nucleotides) under Sieruela monophylla. RNAcentral's name for it is "eukaryotic LSU rRNA". The stretch from base 259 to 414 matches the Rfam family "5.8S ribosomal RNA". Lineage: Eukaryota; Viridiplantae; Streptophyta; Magnoliopsida; Brassicales; Cleomaceae. The record is from RNAcentral.